UUGAGACGAAAAAAGCCGUUUCAAAUCCGUCUCAAAAUAGGCAACAACUAUUUAUUUUACACAUAUUUUGAGACGGAUGACAUCCGUCUCAAUCCCGUUUCAAAUUUGAUGCCAAUAUUUUUUUAGCGCGCAUAUUUUGAGACAGGCUGCAGCCAUCUCAAAAUUCGUGUCAACUUGGACACCAACAUCGCAAAAUCUUUGAGACGAAAAGAAGUCAUCUCAAUUCUAUCUCAAUAUAUUUAUUAACAACAAAUUAUAAAUAUUUUCAUAAUUUAAUUUCAAAAUCUAAAAAUAAAAAUAUUCAAAAUAAUAAUGAUAAUUACUAAACUGUUAUUUAUAGACAAUACUAGAUAAGACAUCUAUAGAUGAGUACUAUUACAAAUAUCAACGUACUACAAGUCUAACCAAAUACAACAAAAGUAACUUCUAAAAACUACUGCUUUAAAGCUCAAAAAUAUGCAUAAUCACACCAUCAUAUCCCAUCCUCGAUGGUAAACAAAAGUAACUUCUAAAAAAUACUACCUAAAAGAUCAACAUGCAUAUACAUUCACGAGUCUCCAUCCUCGUUACUAUCGCCUGAAUCUUCAUCAUGCUCAUCCUCGACAUCAACAUCCUACAAGUAGUAGUACAUGGAAUGCAUGUCAAAUAUAUGAAAUGAAUGCAUGCAUUCUAAACAUAAAACUAAAAAAACUGAUUACAUACUAUGAUCUAUGAACAAACAUGAAUAACUUUCAGAUUGCACCUAUUUUAAGCAAUAAUCUCAACACAAGUUUAUACAUAAGGUGCAAAUAGUACUACACCAACGAAAUGAGAAACCAUAUAUAUGUAGGUAAUAAAACCUAAAGCAUAUAACACGUAAAUCUGCAAUCACAUUUGGGGUCAGAAAAAUUAAGUCAACCAGUCUUUUUGGCCCAUCAAUUCACGAUAGUGCGACUUUUAUUUAAACUAUAUGCUUUAUAUUAGUGUGCUUGUACUUGGGAACACCACCUUUAGCGCCUCUAGGAUUCAUUUAAUUA
This 1016-nucleotide long non-coding RNA is filed under the name Panax ginseng (ginseng). RNAcentral's name for it is "long non-coding RNA (PGIN_LNC017494)". The record is from RNAcentral. Lineage: Eukaryota; Viridiplantae; Streptophyta; Magnoliopsida; Apiales; Araliaceae.